GAGGAAGUGGGAGAUGGGAUGUUGGAAGCAAGAAGCCGCAGUGAUGAGAGGAAGGGGCUGCGAGCCACAGAACGCAGGCGGCCCCUAGAGCUGGAAAGGGCAGGACAUGGAUGCUCCCGGGAGCCUCCGGAAGGAACCGGCCCCACCGACCUGUUGACUUUAGCCCACAAGAGCUUGCUGUGGACUUCUGACCUCAAGAACUGUUACUGCCCCGGGAACCGAAAAAGACUCAUGGUGCUUUCUCAGCGGCCCACACGUGAUCCCGAAGUGGCCUCCCGUCUACACGUCGGCCCCGAGGAAACUGCAAGACGGUCUCUCGGGGCUGCAGAGGGCAGCUGGCCGCUCUCCUGCUGCCGUUCUGAUCUGUAAAGGCCAGUCGGGCCCCAGCGAAGUGCUGGAAAAGGCGAGGACCUUCUAGGCACAGCUCACCUCCUGAUCCUGUCUUCUCCUACCCGUGCUGGAGGGAGAGAGAGAAGAGAGGUGGCGCCCACUCACUAGCCUCAUAUUCU
RNAcentral lists this long non-coding RNA (509 nucleotides) under Equus asinus (donkey). RNAcentral describes it as "lncRNA (ENSEASG00005025771.1)". The record is from RNAcentral. Lineage: Eukaryota; Metazoa; Chordata; Mammalia; Perissodactyla; Equidae.